AAGAGCAACAAAUCACACCAGAAAACUAUGAUGAUGUGAUCACUGCUGGACUGAGAGAUCUUGCUACAGAUGACGAACCAGAAAACUAUGAUGAUGUUGUCAUCAUACCACAGUUCUCCAGUGAUAAAGCAGAGGGUGUUCAGGAGGAGUAUGAUGAUGUGAAGAAUGUCAGAGAGUAUAUGAGCAACAUGUUUG
This is a long non-coding RNA of Labeo rohita (rohu), 195 nucleotides long. RefSeq lists it as uncharacterized. The record is from RefSeq and is a predicted model, not a curated record. NCBI's taxonomy places the organism in Eukaryota, Metazoa, Chordata, Actinopteri, Cypriniformes, Cyprinidae. The transcript has 3 exons.